UACGUAGGGGGCAAGCGUUAUCCGGAUUUAUUGGGCGUAAAGAGCUCGUAGGCGGCCGUUCGCGUCGGAUGUGAAAGCUCAGGGCUCAACUCUGAGACGCCAUUCGAUACGGGACGGCUAGAGGUAGGUAGGGGAGAGUGGAAUUCCUGGUGUAGCGGUGAAAUGCGCAGAUAUCAGGAGGAACACCGGUGGCGAAGGCGGCUCUCUGGGCCUUACCUGACGCUGAGGCGCGAAAGCGUGGGGAGCGAACAGG
RNAcentral lists this ribosomal RNA (253 nucleotides) under uncultured bacterium. Its description in RNAcentral is "partial 16S ribosomal RNA". It matches the Rfam family "Bacterial small subunit ribosomal RNA", at positions 524 to 776 of the family's 1533-position model. The record is from RNAcentral.